This 465-nucleotide ribosomal RNA is filed under the name uncultured bacterium. Its description in RNAcentral is "partial 16S ribosomal RNA". It matches the Rfam family "Bacterial small subunit ribosomal RNA", at positions 28 to 507 of the family's 1533-position model. The record is from RNAcentral.
GACGAACGCUGGCGGCGUGCUUAACACAUGCAAGUCGUACGGUAAGGCCCUUUCGGGGGUACACGAGUGGCGAACGGGUGAGUAACACGUGAGUAACCUGCCCACAACUUUGGGAUAACGCUAGGAAACUGGUGCUAAUACUGGAUAUGUGCUCCUGCUGCAUGGUGGGGGUUGGAAAGCUCCGGCGGUUGUGGAUGGACUCGCGGCCUAUCAGCUUGUUGGUGGGGUAGUGGCCUACCAAGGCGGCGACGGGUAGCCGGCCUGAGAGGGUGACCGGCCACAGUGGGACUGAGAGACGGCCCAGACUCCUACGGGAGGCAGCAGUGGGGAAUAUUGCACAAUGGGCGCAAGCCUGAUGCAGCAACGCCGCGGGCGGGAUGACGGCCUUCGGGUUGUAAACCGCUUUCAGCAGGGACGAAGCUUUUUGUGACGGUACCUGCAGAAGAAGCACCGGCUAACUACGUG